AGAGUUUGAUCCUGGCUCAGAGCGAACGCUGGCGGCAGGCCUAAUACAUGCAAGUCGAGCGCCCUUUCGGGGGAGCGGCGGACGGGUGAGUAACGCGUGGGAACGUGCCCUUUGGUUCGGAACAACACAGGGAAACUUGUGCUAAUACCGAAUGUGCCCUUCGGGGGAAAGAUUUAUCGCCAUUGGAGCGGCCCGCGUUGGAUUAGGUAGUUGGUGGGGUAAAGGCCCACCAAGCCUACGAUCCAUAGCUGGUCUGAGAGGAUGAUCAGCCACACUGGGACUGAGACACGGCCCAGACUCCUACGGGAGGCAGCAGUAGGGAAUCUUGCGCAAUGGGCGAAAGCCUGACGCAGCCAUGCCGCGUGAAUGAUGAAGGUCUUAGGAUUGUAAAAUUCUUUCACCGGGGAAGAUAAUGACGGUACCCGGAGAAGAAGCCCCGGCUAACUUCGUGCCAGCAGCCGCGGUAAUACGAAGGGGGCUAGCGUUGCUCGGAAUUACUGGGCGUAAAGGGCGCGUAGGCGGAUAGUUUAGUCAGAGGUGAAAGCCCAGGGCUCAACCCUGGAAUUGCCUUUGAUACUGGCUAUCUUGAGUUCGGGAGAGGUGAGUGGAACUCCGAGUGUAGAGGUGAAAUUCGUAGAUAUUCGGAAGAACACCAGUGGCGAAGGCGACUCACUGGCCCGAUACUGACGCUGAGGCGCGAAAGCGUGGGGAGCAAACAGGAUUAGAUACCCUAGUAGUCC
This 740-nucleotide ribosomal RNA is filed under the name uncultured bacterium. RNAcentral describes it as "bacterial SSU rRNA". It matches the Rfam family "Bacterial small subunit ribosomal RNA", at positions 8 to 796 of the family's 1533-position model. The record is from RNAcentral.